Molecule: long non-coding RNA, 2418 nt
Filed under: Sorghum bicolor (sorghum)
Lineage: Eukaryota; Viridiplantae; Streptophyta; Magnoliopsida; Poales; Poaceae
Description: long non-coding RNA (SBIC_LNC012506)
Source: RNAcentral
GGCGGGGGCCUAGGGCCUGGCUCCGUUCGGCCUCUGCUUCCUUCCCGUGGCUUCUGGAGUCUUCUAGAUGUAAGAUAAUUGCGCGGCACGUUGAUAUCUCUAUGUAAUCCCGACGUGUGGGCCUUUCUUCCGUAUUUCCUGAUAACCCCCUGCAGAAAUAGACAAACACCAAAACUCAUGGAAUUCUGUCAGAUAAAACCCUAAGUUUGGAUGUUGAUUUCAUUUGGAUCCUUUUCUUUGUUUAUUUGAUAAUUAAAUUUGAUACUUAAGGACCGUCAACAAACUCCUCCAAGCUUACCUCUUGCUCGUCCGUGAGCAAGGAUAAUCUCAGCGAUGGAUCAGAAGUUGUUGUAAUGCCUUUUAAAAUUGACGGUACACAUUGUUUUAAAUGAGGUCUCAUCUCUGAGUUAGAGUAAACUGUCAAGACUUAAAACUUACUUACUUUACCUUCUACCAUGGGACUUGUAACCAUCACUUCCGUCUUGAGUAGUUAAAAGAUAGAACAGUCUAGUCAAGUUCCAUGUCUCUUAUUCUUGAUCAACUAUAGCUCUGGAGUUUUUGCAGAUUUUCAAAUUAAACUCAGAGAUUCCUUGUAUGAUUCUCUUAUAUCUCUCUAUUGUGGUAUUUUUGGAUCCUUACCAAGGCAGUGAUGGUAUAUGUCUUCUCUCAAAAUAUGUGGUCUUUGUGGUAUAAGGCAUAGUGACAUUGCCUUCUCUCUUAUCCUACUCUAAUAAGGCUUUAAUAUCUGGAGCUCAUAGGUGGGAGAUAAAAUAUACAUACUCACAAGACAUUUAUUGCAUAGUCAAACCAUGGAUCCAAAGAAACAAAUCAAUAAGUCAAAUCAAGAUGUGCAUGUGUGGCGAAUAAAUGGUGUAUGGUGAUAAUGGUGAUAACAAUGGUGAAAGUCUAAUUCUACUUUUGCUCUUUGAGGGGAUACAUACCUUCUUUGCUUUUUGAAACUUUGUGAGGAGAAUAAGAUGCUCUUCCUUUUAUUUUCUCUCAGGUGGGUAUCUUGUACCCCUAAUUCUACUGUCGGACACUUGUCCAUUUUUACCUCUCGUCUCACUUUUUCUUUUCUUUCGAGGUUCCGGGCACUUGCCCCUUUUUAUUUUCUCGUAUUUUUAUUUUUUUCUUCUUUUCUUUUUUUAGAGCACUCAUCUCUUGAGAUAAUAUAGCAACUUAGUAACAAGAUAACUUGAGCAUUUAUUUCACAGAAAUAUUUUUGGCCAUUCUCUCCCGGAUUAUGAGUAGAAUAUUUUUGGGUGGUUCUGGAGAUGGAAAUGGGUGGAUAUAUGUGGAUGGUACUUCCGGAGUAUGUAACACCCUAAAAAUUCCCUUGUUUUAAAUAGUUGAAUUUGAUUUAUUGUGUCAAUUUUGUGAGCAUCAAAAUAUAAGAAAAAAAACUAAUAAUAAUAAUUUUAGAGAAAUUAAAAUUUAAUAUAAGUUUAGAAACAUAUUGAUGCAUUCAUGCUGCAACAUUUAUUUAUGUGAUGUGUGGAAUUUGUAAAGAGUUUUGAAUUCAAUUUUCAUUUGAAAAAUGAGUUUGAAAAAUUGUUUUGGAAAAAGAAAAAUGGAAUUCCUUUUCUUCCCCUCUCUCCUUCUCUCGGCCUGCUAGGCCCAAAUCUCCCCCGCGCCCCCUCUCCCUUCCUAGGCCGAGGCCCAGCUGGCCAAGUCCCUCUCCCUCUCCCUCCCGCCGACAGAUGGGGCCCAUCUGUCAGCUCCAUCAUCUCCAACCGCCAGCCCCAACUCCCUCUCUCCCGAUUCUGCUCAACCUCAAGCCGAGCCGCCCCCCCCCCGCUCCCACGAUCUCCUUUCCCCCGCUCCUUGUCAUUUGGAGUCGCGCACGCGCCCGAGCCCCCUUCCCCUUCCCCAUUUGCUCUCCCCACAUCCUUGCCCUCGUUCUUGAACGCGCAGCGAGCUCGCCAAAAACCGCCGCGACCUCCGCACGUCGUCCCAUCGAAUCAAACCAUUUACGCUCCAAUUCUUCGCGCUGGUGAGCUCUACUCCUUCCCCGCAUUCUUCUCAAUUAAAUUUCAUGCGAUUUGGUGCCUCCUAGCGUCCUAGCCAUGAGCUCCGAGGAGCCGGUCAUGGCGCCGCCGCGGUCCGCACUGCGCGGACGUUUCUCUGGCCGCGCAAAGGCUAGGAUUGGAUUCGCCGCGACCUCCUCUCUCUCCCGGUGUAUUUGCUUCGCGAAACCGAGCUCCGUAACGUUCUGUAGGUUUUCUCCGGCGAGCUUGGGCCGGCCGGCCAUGGAGCGCCGCCGUCUCCUCUUCCCCCUCCGACCGGCAUCUCCUGUCCCCCCCCGAUCUAAUCUUGAGCGUCCGUUUUCAAUCCGAUGGCCAGGAGCGCUCCAUACCCCUUCGGGUGGAUAUUUUGCUAAAGAGUCCUUUCGAAUUUAGGAAAUAAAACCCGCAGUCC